This 2118-nucleotide long non-coding RNA is filed under the name Varroa destructor (honeybee mite). RNAcentral describes it as "uncharacterized LOC111242839". The record is from RNAcentral. Lineage: Eukaryota; Metazoa; Arthropoda; Arachnida; Mesostigmata; Varroidae.
GGCACCAGUAUCUAUAGAGAAGCAUGUAUAGUUGAAUGGUCGUGCCAGCGGUAGCGGUACUAGCAGCGAUGGCAUUAUUCUAUGAGGAAAUCUGUGAACCUCUCUAGUGAAUCCGAAUAGGCGAGAAGGUCCGUACCAGAUAGUAAUAGCCUUGUCUUUCGUCUUUCUUUAUAGCGAAGAGGAGUUGCGGUGACACGAAACCAAAGUAAGCCAAAUCGAAUCAACGUAUUCGACGUAGUUCCGAAUCCGCGGACCGUUUGGAGGUGAGAGGCAACCGACGUGCGGUGAUUCACAGGGCAUUGAAACAGACAGGUUCCCAUACAGCAGCAGUGUGCGGGGAGAGAGAGCAGUUGCAGUGGUAACGGCGCUGCUAGUGCCACCACUUAAUGGCCGUACUGACCUAACAAAAGCUUCCCUUUCACCCAUCGUUUCUAGCCUUCACCGAAAAGCAGCGAGCGCCAAAGUGAAAGCAAGCGCAACGGAACCCCUGGCCCCCGCUCGCGGUUAUGCCGAGAAAGAAACAUUUAGCGUUUUCGUGAUAAACACCCUGCCACUCUUCGCGGCUUAACAAUAGCUAGCCAUCAUCAUCUAAAAAGAUUGGCAAAGCAAAGGCAUGAGACCGCGUGAGAUCGACAAAUCUCACUAACCUACUAGUUAGCGUCCGUAGGCAAUUUGAGCUGCCACGGUGGCCCGAGGCCUCCAAGUGACGCGUUUGCGAACCCUUCAGUGGACGGUCGAUCGAAGAGUUUUAGGGCGAUGAUCUGUGACCUGCUAUAAAAGGUGGCAUCAUACAGUGUUGAGCUCGGCAUAGAUGGCGUCUAUUUGAUUUCCGGUUCUGAACCAUAUCUCCAUGAGCUGAAGAGCUGAGCGGUAUCUUCCACUGGCCGUAUACGCAAGAGUCUGCUUCAGUCGGGGUGACCAGACCGGUUCUUCAACGGCAUACCGACCGAACGGAUUUACCAGGAUAAGGCUAUAACUCCAGCUUCCUAAGCGACGUAAAGAAGCACAACGGCUAUGAAAUAGAGAAGCACAGUGAUUCCUUUGCAUUGAGAAAAUACCCACUGGUUUAUUUGCGGACCUUUUCGAUCUGAGGCGAUACGGUCCAAGCAGAGGGAGAAAGAAAAAAAGGACAUUUUCCGGAGAUGCCCGCCUGCUGAGCCACUUAGCUUUGAGACCGAAAGAACCUCGCCAGUUAGUCUAACGAAAGACGAUGGUCAGCCCCUACCUCAGAGGAGCAGAUCAACUGCACGUAGUGCUAAAGCCCCACAGAUGGUGGCAGUCAUCACCUAACCCUUUAUGCAGUCAGACUGAAGCUGAGUGGAGGUGGAGAUCGUAGUAUACUACAUGGAACAGAAAGCAGUUAGUACAGCCUCGAUAGAAAGCCUUUCUAUCCGCCCACUUCCCGCCCACUGGCCAACAAGUUAGUCAACCCAACGAGCCAUACACUCGAACGUCGGCCCAUCCAGCAGCCCUCUAAAUGGUAGAUCGGUUUUGCCACUUCCUGCCUGUAGCAUCUAUUGCUAAACAUAUGGGGAAUAGGCAGUUAAAAUACAAACGCAGGCUUCACUAAGUCUCUUGGGCAUUUGAAGUUCGGUAAAUUUAACCGAAGAGACCUUUCUUGUUAUACUAAUCUAGUAAAUUUUACAAGACCAUAACCGCCGGCGAAGGCUGCGUGAUAUGUUCGACCCUUCGUUUCGGAUAAAUCUGCCUGUAUGACACAAGAGGCAAUAAGUCGUCAAAAUAAAAGGUAUUUUCCUCAAAUAACCAAUUACCGCCAAGCCGCUAACAACGUUUAUUCAAAAUAAAACUAAAUGAAAAAAUAACGCUUUUAAAGCGUUUCGAAAAUACUUGUACACGCAAGGUGUAAAUUGAAACCUCUAAUUAUUGCAGUAUAACAUAGUUCGAUUAUUAUAUUUGCUAUAAUACACAAGUAUAGAUACAUUACAAACAUAUAAAUCAGUCGGUUCUUAUACAGUUCGGGAAUAAAAACAGGUUUUAUGAAAGAGGUCCUGGAAAGCUCUCUUGGGUAGUAUCGCGAACCCUUGCAACUUCUUUUCGAUAGCCCAUGUUUACUUUUAAUUUUUACAAUUUUGACGCCAGCCGCUCGAAGAUGAACAA